RNAcentral lists this ribosomal RNA (713 nucleotides) under uncultured bacterium. RNAcentral describes it as "bacterial SSU rRNA". It matches the Rfam family "Bacterial small subunit ribosomal RNA", at positions 60 to 762 of the family's 1533-position model. The record is from RNAcentral.
AGUCGAGGGGCAGCGGGAUUGAAGCUUGCUUCAAUUGCCGGCGACCGGCGCACGGGUGAGUAACGCGUAUCCAACCUUCCGCUUACUCGGGGAUAGCCUUUCGAAAGAAAGAUUAAUACCCGAUGGUAUGAUGAGAUUGCAUGAUAGCAUCAUUAAAGAUUUAUUGGUAAGCGAUGGGGGUGCGUUCCAUUAGGUAGUAGGCGGGGUAACGGCCCACCUAGCCUACGAUGGAUAGGGGUUCUGAGAGGAAGGUCCCCCACAUUGGAACUGAGACACGGUCCAAACUCCUACGGGAGGCAGCAGUGAGGAAUAUUGGUCAAUGGACGAGAGUCUGAACCAGCCAAGUAGCGUGAAGGAUGAAGGUCCUACGGAUUGUAAACUUCUUUUAUAAGGGAAUAAAACCUCCCACGUGUGGGAGCUUGUAUGUACCUUAUGAAUAAGCAUCGGCUAACUCCGUGCCAGCAGCCGCGGUAAUACGGAGGAUGCGAGCGUUAUCCGGAUUUAUUGGGUUUAAAGGGAGCGCAGACGGGUCGUUAAGUCAGCUGUGAAAGUUUGGGGCUCAACCUUAAAAUUGCAGUUGAUACUGGCGUCCUUGAGUGCGGUUGAGGUGUGCGGAAUUCGUGGUGUAGCGGUGAAAUGCUUAGAUAUCACGAAGAACUCCGAUUGCGAAGGCAGCACACUAAGCCGUAACUGACGUUCAUGCUCGAAAGUGU